Molecule: long non-coding RNA, 2311 nt
Organism: Larimichthys crocea (large yellow croaker)
Lineage: Eukaryota; Metazoa; Chordata; Actinopteri; Sciaenidae
Exons: 3
Source: RefSeq, a predicted model, not a curated record
UGACCAUAAAGUUGUGAAACAUCUGCUCCACAUCAGCCAUCACAGCGUAUGGUUCACCUCUGAAACAGAGAAGCACACCUGGCUUUUGUGGGUGAUAAAUGCCAAAGCUUGGGAGAUACCAACAUUCUUGGUGGGGUUUAAGAGGAGCCUUUUCUGUGUGUCCUUUGCUGAAUGUCCUUUUCAUAAACUCCACGAAAUGCUCUUUCAUUUCUGGCUUUCUCUUUAGUGUCUUGCGUAGAGACAUGAGGCGGGUGAGUGCCUGCUCUCUAUUGUUAGGCAAGCGGAGUCUGGGAUGACGAAAAGGGAGGGGAGCCACCCAGUUGUUUGCCUCAUCUUUAACAAACCCAUGGUGCAUAACAUUCAGGAAUGACUCUUCUUCUGCAGAGAGUGCUAGUUUGUCGUCAUCUGCUGUUUGUUUGAAGAUGUGUUUGCUCAGCUCAUCUUUGGGUUGCAUGCUCUCAAAAAAGGGAUUGUCUUCUGUGAACUUUACCUUUGUGUAGAUUCUGUUUUCACAGGGAGAGAGGAAACUGGGGCAGCCGUUAUCAAGUAUGUUUGUCUUGUAGGAGUUCACUGUGGGUCUGUGGGCUCCUGAGAGGCAGACAUCUCCAAUUAUUACCCACCCGAGAUCAAGCUGUUGGGCGUAAGGAGCUUCGUUUGGGCCAUUUAUCUGUCGGCGGACCAUGUGAGCCUGGAUCACAUCUCUGCCCAGCAGGAGAAGGAUGUCAGCUGAUGGAUCAAGUGGCGGUAUUUGUGUGGCUAUGUGAGAGAGGUGAGGAUGUGAGGAUGGGCGGCUGCAGCUUCAAGCGUGGGUAUCUCACUUCUGUUGUUUGGGAUCUGGUUGCAUUCGGUGAGUAUGGGUAGUGUUAUUGACACUUUUCUGUUUAUGCCCUCGAUGGCAAAGCCAUGAGCUCUGCGCCCUUGUGUGUUCACUGUUUCUGAGCAUGUUUUCAUUUUGUACGGGAGGGCCUCACCAUGCAGGUUGAACAUGUCAAAAAAGGGGGACCGAGCUAAUGACACAUUACUCUGAUCAUCUAAGAUCGCGUACGUUUUCCUUUUCUUAUUUGGGGCUGAGCAGGGGUACACAUUCAAUAGGCAAAUUUUGGAACAUGACUUUCCCUGUAGUCCUUGUCCACAUACCUCAGUGCAGCUAGAUGUGGUCACUGUGGGGCUUAGGGUAUCUGGCUCCCCGCCAUGGGCCAAUGGUAGGGUGUCAGGGCCUGUAUCUGUCCAUGGGGGUGGCCCAGCAUGCAUGGCGGAAGUGUGUGAAUCACUGUUGCACUCCACGCAGCGAAUAACAGCUUUACAGUUUUUAGCCCUGUGUUUUGUUGAUGAGAGACACUUGUAGCAGAUUGACAGCUCCUUAAGCAGACCUCUCCUCUCAUCCAAUGUCUUCAUUCUGAAUCCUCUACAUUUGGCAAGAGAAUGUGGUUUCUUGUGUACUGGACACUGUUUAUUGGGGUCGAGAGGGGGAGCCUUUGGUUCAUUGUUAGCUGCACCAACCUGUGUUUUGUUCGUUGUGAUGGGAACUUUGAACCGUGUUUGUCUCACUAGUGUCCUUUCUGCUUUCAUGUGUGCAGGGCCGCAGUUUUGCAGAAUGAAGCUGGGGUCUGUUCUCAUUUCAGCGUGGUUGUUGACAAACUGGACGAAAUAGGAGAAAGGUGGGUAGUGAGCUUUGUGAUCUUUUUUAUAUCUUGACCCUUCUUUGACCCACGCCUCCUGCAGGCCACCAGGGAGCUUUUCCACAAUUGGGUUUAUUCCUCUUGAAGUGUCGAGAAAGCUGAGGCCUGGUAGAUACCCUUCAUCUUUCGCCACCUCGAGCUCUUGGAGGAGGUCUGCAAGCUCUUGCAGGAGGUGACUGUCCUAAUGGCCAACUUUGGGAAAACUUUCCAAGCGUCCGAACAGCAAAGCCUCGAUGCCUUCUGAGCAUGCUGGAGAGACUCACCGCUCAGCCAUUUGGUAAGUAGAUCAAGCUCUUCGCAGCAUUUCAAGUUCAAAUCUCCAGUGGCGUUCUGAAACAUAGAUUUCCAUGCUACAUAGGUCUCUGGCCUGUUAUCAAACACUGUGAGUCCUGCUGUCAGAAGGUCACAACGUGAGAGGAGCACAGCAAGGCUUUGUCUCAUCUUCCAUAUUAGCAUCAUUAUGAAAGUGAGUGCUUACAUAUUCUUGAGUGCGGCUGGCAGCCAUGGCUAGCAGGAACCUCUGGUGGCUCUUCCAACUCUGUUUGGUCCAAAACUGCAGCCUCGAGGACCCUUGCUGCUGCGAACGCUGCUUUACACGGGACUCACACAGGAGGCGGAACGGCAGCGGAAUG